Non-coding RNA from Spodoptera litura, 597 nucleotides. NCBI's taxonomy places the organism in Eukaryota, Metazoa, Arthropoda, Insecta, Lepidoptera, Noctuidae. The record is from RefSeq and is a predicted model, not a curated record.
UGUGUCAAACUCGAGCGAAAAUUUUCAUGUGUAUAAAUUAAUAGUAAAAACAAUAUGCGUGUAAAAUUAUUGUGGAAUGUCGCUAAGAUAAUCUUGAUAUCGGGGUUAUCAUUUGGCGUUUAAAUUAUACAAAUGAUAGCAAAAUUUUGGUGCCUUGUCAAGGAAUCGUUGGCUUUUGCAUAAACUGCUGAAUUGUACGGAUGCAUGAUUUGCAUAUCUUUGCUGAGUCUAGUCAGUGCAGCUGCCCUUGUUGUCUGUAUCCCCUAUUGGUCGCGCACUUUCUUCCAGAGUAAAUGCACGUGUCCUGCAGUACCUAUAUGUCCUGAUUGUGGCAUGCCGUUCUGAUUGUGGCAGGACUUUGCAAGAAUCUAGAAGUCCAGGAAAGUUUCCCAAAAUGAUUUGUAUGAGUUGUGCGACCGCGAUCGCAGCGGCUGGCAUCAUUGUUUUUGGACCCAUACUGUGUGAGAAACUGUUAAGUUGCCUCGUUAAGUCAAACAAGAAAUAAAUAAAAUACACAAAUGAGGCUGCUAAAUUGUGAGAAUGUACUAAUUUUCUUAGAUCCAGUAUGUGUAAUAAAGUGAUCGUUCAUAAUAUAUA